Molecule: ribosomal RNA, 523 nt
Filed under: uncultured bacterium
Lineage: Bacteria
Description: bacterial SSU rRNA
Rfam family: Bacterial small subunit ribosomal RNA
Source: RNAcentral
AUCCAGAGAACUUAGCAGNGAUGCUUUGGUGCCUUCGGGAACUCUGAGACAGGUGCUGCAUGGCUGUCGUCAGCUCGUGUUGUGAAAUGUUGGGUUAAGUCCCGNAACGAGCGCAACCCUUAUCCUUUGUUGCCAGCGGUUCGGCCGGGAACUCAAAGGAGACUGCCGGUGAUAAACCGGAGGAAGGUGGGGAUGACGUCAAGUCAUCAUGGCCCUUACGGCCAGGGCUACACACGUGCUACAAUGGCGCAUACAAAGAGAAGCGACCUCGCGAGAGCAAGCGGACCUCAUAAAGUGCGUCGUAGUCCGGAUUGGAGUCUGCAACUCGACUCCAUGAAGUCGGAAUCGCUAGUAAUCGUAGAUCAGAAUGCUACGGUGAAUACGUUCCCGGGCCUUGUACACACCGCCCGUCACACCAUGGGAGUGGGUUGCAAAAGAAGUAGGUAGCUUAACCUUCGGGAGGGCGCUUACCACUUUGUGAUUCAUGACUGGGGUGAAGUCGUAACAAGGUAAGCGUAGCGAG